Molecule: long non-coding RNA, 13363 nt
Filed under: Solanum tuberosum (potato)
Lineage: Eukaryota; Viridiplantae; Streptophyta; Magnoliopsida; Solanales; Solanaceae
Description: long non-coding RNA (STUB_LNC002374)
Source: RNAcentral
CCAUCAUAACUAAUCCCAACAUAACUUAUCCCAACAUAACUUAUCCCAUCAUAACUCAUUUUCAAACCAAACGACCCCUAAGUGUAUAUAUAUAUAUAUACACACCCCUUCCCUUCGGCCCGUGCUGACAUGGGAUUCUCUUCUAGUUACCAUCACUAUUCACCAACAGUUAACAUCUAAAUAUCUUCAGAGAAAAAAUUGUCGAAUAUGAGACCAAGUAAUAUUAUAACAAGCUCAAAACAGAGCCUUGACAAUGUGCGCCUUACAUCAGGAUCGGAAUAUCUAACCUACCAAAACAAAACCUCAUGGCCCCUGACGAACAUAUCUAAUAACCAAUCAAUAAUACAAGGAAGCAGCAAAUACAUCCUCAAACAACAAAGACAAAAAGUCCAAAUAGAGAAAAUUUAAGGACUAGGAAUAUGGAAAGGUGCAACAGUGAAACUGAUCUGCUCUGAGCUAUGCCAUCUAUUCAAAUGCUUCAUCAUCGUCAUCUGGAAGUGGCUGAUUAAGGGCUUGUUGAAGCUCCUGUUCAUGCCUGAAUAAACAGUGUGGUUAAAAUUAAAAAUCGUACAACGAAAAAACAAAAUGUUAAGCACAAGGAGCCUAGCACAUCACAGAGCCAAGCGCUAUAGGGUCGAUUUGCAUGAUCUAAACCUAACAGGAACCUAAUACUUGUUGGUAUUCUUUAAGAUACGAGGGUUGCUCAUGAUCAAAAUCAUCAGUUCUAACUCUGAUAUACAUAUUAAGAUGCAAUGAACAUUGUCCAACUCUGUUAUACAUAUAAAACAGUGAAUAUCUGAUAUUUUCACAGACUUGCUAACAGUUAUCAAUUCUAUGGAAUACACAUAUAAAACUCUUACAAUGCCUGUGCAGCUAAGUCAAUUUGUACUUCUGGGGGAGCAAGUGCAGGUGAUUCCACAAAGUGAAGAUUACCAUCCCUACAAGUAGAACAAGAAAUUAGGUUCACAUCAACAGUACAUAUGAAUAGAACAGACAAGAUAUAGAUUUAUAUUUAUGAACAUUAAUUACCCAGCAAGCUUUCUAGCAAGGUACAGAAAAGGCUUCUCAAAGUUGUAGUUACUCUUUGCUGAGAUCUCAUAGUAUUGCAAAUUUUUCUUCCUGUGGAAGGUAACUUGCUUUGCCUUAACCUGCCUGUUCUUCACAUCAACUUUGUUUCCACAGAGAACAAUGGGGAUGUUUUCACAAACCCUGGAAGAAGCAAUUGAAUAGCAUUUCAGAUUUCAAUUGCAUAUCAUCAAUUAUAAGUAAGAGUAUAAUGCUGGCAGCCUAUGAAGAGUUCCUCACCGGCAAAGAUCUCUAUGCCAAGUAGGAACAUUCUUGUAGGUCAGACGGGCUGUAACAUCGAACAUGAUAAUUGCACAUUGCCCAUGAAUGCUGGACAAUUGACAUAGAGAAAUAUGAGAAUCAAAAAUACAGUCACCAAAAGCUUCAAGCAAGACAAUUAAUGUCAAGGCAGUCAUACAAGUAACAAAUGUUUGAUGUAAAAAAGGAAUAGCAGGGUAAAUAUGGUAUUCUGAGCUCAAAAGAGACGCGGAUGUGAGCACAAUUACUGUCACCUCAGAUAUGAUUAACCACAUUGUAGAAAUACCUAUAGUGGCAUUUGAUGUAGAACACCACACGUUAUCAAUUAUUCUUCACAAACAAACCAGCAUUCCUUAAUUCCAAUAUUUCAGCUUUUGGGAAACAUGAAACUUCACCCAUUUAACUUGACAGUAAAAGUUUUAAUCAUAAAAUAACAUCUAUCGAGCAGCAGAGCCUUGCAUAAACUAAAGGUUUUAACUGCCUACAAUCACUUACUAGUAACCAUCUCUGAGACCUCCAAACUUCUCUUGUCCGGCUGUAUCCCAGCAAUAAAAGCGAAUUUUCCCACAAUUUGUGAAGAAGUCUAGUGGAUGAACCUCCACACCAAUAGUGGCUGUAUGAAAACAAAACUUAAUAAAUAAUUUACUCACGAGAAACCAACAUAACAAGAAACAGAGCGAGAGCCUAUUGAAAAGGAUAACGACCCAGAUUAUCAGAAGACUCUAUCUGUCAGUACAGGAAAUAAAAAACUUACGUUCGUAUUUUUUCUCAAAUUCACCAGUGAGAUGCCUUUUGACAAAAGUCGUCUUCCCUGGAAAUCCAAUUACAACAGGAACCAUUAGGGUACUCUAACAAAAGGAAGCAAGCCACUAAUCUCAAUGAAACAUUCACUUCAAUUUACAAAGAUCAGAUUAUCUACGAUAAAUAGCAUUUAUCCCAUAAAUUCAGUGUAUACUCAUACAUUAUCAAUUAACUAUAUUGAAAUAACUUCCAUAUUUAAAAACUAUUCUGAAUCAAAAUUUCACACAAGUCAGUAAUGUUUUUCAAAUGUUUGAAGAAAUCAAAACAAAAUAUCUGUUUGACAUCAAAAUAUUGUUACUGAUAUUCUCUUCGAAACAAACGAUACUAGAAACAAAUCUCAGAUAAACAUAGAAACAUACCAGUUCCUCCAUCCCCCACAAUAACAAGCUUGAAGCUUGGAUAAUCUACAGUUUGUUGGUUUGGUAAAGCCUGUAAUAAUAAAUUCACAAACAUCAACACAAGAAAUCAGCCAAAACAGUUACAAUUCAACACUGGUCACAUAUCAAACUUCAUAAACACAUCACAAUCAAAGUUAAAAAUCAACUUCCUAGAAGAACAAAAAGGAGCAAUUGGACAACAAAAAAAUCAACAAAGUGUAUAAGCACCUCAAACUGAAACCUGUGGGGGAUUUUGAUGUCUCAAAAAAGAAGAUAAAACAGAUUGAAGACACAGAAGAUGGCGUACAUACAUCUUUAAAGCUUUACGUCUUGGUCAUAUUUGCUAUUUAUAAAAAAAUUCUUUCUUAUAGAAAGAAUGAAUAAUUUCUAAAUUAAUUAUUCGUAUGUAGAUUUUCAACAAUCAAUUUAUGUUUGUGAACUCCCAUCUUAGAGAAUGAAUCAUUUAACUCUAGUAUAUACCAUCUAAGUUCUCCACAGGCUAUCUCUCAAAAGAAAGAAUAUUUUAACAGCCCUAUUUUAUAAUUUCAAAUGUUUUAAGCCAAAUCCCACCACACGUAUCCAUACCUCAAUCCAUAUGGAUACAAAUCCAACACCCAGAUACGCAUCCAAAGCUUAUACACACAUCUAUCUCAAACUAUUCAGGGUCGAUUAGACACCUUAGAUCAGUUAUCAUUCCAAAUACAACAAAAAAUAACUCACUACAUCUUCAAAAACUCAUCCAACCAAAGCUAAAACCAACUUCUAAAACAAAGAAAAGGAACAACUUGACCAAACAAAGCCUAUAAACACCUCAAUCUCAUCAUCCCAAUACUGAUACACAAUUUGCAGCUAUAAAAGUUCUCCUGUACAUAACAACACUUCCCAUUCCAAUUAUGAUAAUCUACCAGCCGAGAAGAAUAAACUCAUCUAAAUCCUCAAAUACUCAUCCAAAUCAAAGUUAAUACAAAAAAAUAAAUCCAGCGAAUCGUAUAAACAUCUCAAUAAUCAUCUAAUUAUCAUUCCAAUUCUCGAAAAAAAAUCAACUAAUUAUAUGAAAAAUAAACGAGAUUUACUCACCAUUGUCGAAAGUAUGAGAAGAAAAUUCCUUCAAGAGAGAGAGCGGCAGAGCUUUUUUGUGUGUGUGAGGAAUGAAAAGCGAAACGGAAGUAGGGUUUAUAAAUUGGGGAAUUCGCUUAAACUUAACGCCAGUCUUUUUUUUUAUAUUCUAUUUUUGAAUUUCAAAUUUUUGUGUGUGUGUUAGAAACAUAAUAAACUAAUGUUUUUUAAAAAAAUAAAUAAAUAAAUUCUUUAUGUUUGUUUUUAACUUUUGUAAGUUUUAAGCUAAUAUAUUUUGUAAUUGGGUCCACUAGGAAUGUAUUAUUGCGUUUAGUCACCCUUGUUGUAUUACAAAUUACACAAAACUUUGACCGUUUGGCAGAGUAAUAGCGGAUUUAGGAUUUUCAUUCGGGAGUUUGAAACAUAUAUAUGAAGUAAAAGCACAAAAAUUAUGAGAUAACUAAAAACGUGGGGCGGUGAAUGGCAAUACUCAUUUUAAUCCACUUAAUUUUAACUCACAUUGUCAUGUCCCGUUUAACAUUUAUUACUAUUUCGAGUCCUUUCUAAAAUUUAUUGUGCUUUUUUUGCCUUCCCCUUCCUCUUUGCAGUGUUCAAUUUUUUCUUUCGAAUUAAUAUCCUUUCAAUCAUAUGUUAUCUUUAAAAUAAUAUUUUUCUUCAAAAAUAAUUUUGGAAUCUUGGUCAAGCUCAAGCACCGACAAAACUCUAAUAUUAAUAAAAAAAAUCAAAUUAAUUAAUCAAACACAAAUUAUUAAUAUACAAAAAGUACUUUAAUAAAAAAAAUUCAUAAUAACAAAUUUUAGAAGUUUAAUCAAUCACGCUAUUGAUUUUUUUAUUUUAGCUUUUAACAUAUUUACAGUAGUACCUAUUCUUAUUCCAUAUUUAUAAUAUAUAGAAUUUUACAUAUAAUUUAUGCAAAUAUUAUUUAUGGAAAAAAUAAAAGAAACUAUCGAGCGUUAGAAGCUAUCACGAUCGAAGACAUAACUUUGAACCCGUAGACCACUAAAUUAAGCUUCUCAAUUGUACUGAGGGGGUUCAUUUCUUUGUAUAUAACCAUACAUAUCGAAUUUGACCUUAUAAAUACAAUGUAAUUUUUUCGACGAGGGGAUUUGGAUGGACCCCUACUGCCCACGUAGAUCCGUCCCUGUGGUAGAGUAUCUAAGAAUAAUGCAAAAUAUAAUGUAUUAGUAAUACUUGUAUUGUUAUACUUGCAUUAGUUAUGCUGAGAUUUUUCUUAUGCAAUGUUUGGUUUGGUGUACUAAAAAUAUUAAGCAUUGCAUAAUUUUUUAAAGAAAUGUUUUUUUUAAAAAAAAAUAUUGGAAUGGAUGUGAAAAAAAUUUGAGGGACAAUUGUAUCUUUAACAUUGCUAAUGCAUGCAUUAGAAUUCAUUGCAAUACUAAUGCAUAGAAACCCAUGAUAUUAGUAAUUUACUCUUCAAUAUACAAUAACUAAUACAAGCAUUAGUUAUGCAUAAAUUAGAAAAGCGAACUAAACAAAGUACUAGUAACACAAUAAAGUGGGAAAGAUUAUUAUUUGUAAAUUCAAUUAGUUUUACUUAUUAAACUAACUAAUUGAAUGCCUGAUGUAAAAAGUGGCCUUUUGGCUUCCAUUUUAGUUUCUAGCUAGGUUGAUGUUUUUGUUGCAUCUUAAAUUUCGAUUCCAACAUAUAAAAUUGAGCGAGAAAUGUUUAUUUUGAGUUUUUAUUAGGGGAUAUUUUCGCCAAUCUUAAUUUUAUAAAUUGUCAGCUUUUUGUCUUUUCAAACGAAGUCAGACAUUUUUCUUAUUUUUAAGUGGCAAAAAUUGUAUAACGUUUUCAAAAACGUUUUUUUGGGCGAGUCCUGAGGAAGUUUUGAGGUGGGGCAUACUAAAACGCUCUGGGGUGCAAAUUAAAAACGUACAUUCAUAGGGCAUGAGACGUGAGUCCUAGAAUUUGGGGUGUAAGCUCCUAGCGUAAAACAUAAACCUUGGGCGUAAAAAUCGUACACCUCGGGCCUUUUUUUAAAAAUUAUUAUUAUUUUUGAACUUUUUUUUUUUAUUGAAAUCAUAUUUUUUUAUUUGUGUAAUGAUAUUUCUCAAAUAGUAAUUGUAAUAGUACUUUUUUCUUCAUUAUUGGUUAUUAAUACAUUUCUCAAAUAAAAAUCAUAAUAUUUUUUUUCUAUAUAUUAUAGCCUUAUAGGUUAUUAAUUUAAAUUUAUUUAUAGUAAUUGAAAGUUUAAACUUUUGCUUGUUUUCUUAGUAAUAAAAUUAUAAAAAAGAAUAUACACGAGACCACGUCCGUAGAUUCAUAAAACUUAUGUCUCAUGUCUCGAAGCUUACGUCUCGCUCCAAACUAUAUAAAACAUCUCGCCUCACACCCCAGCCUUCUAAAACACUACUCCAACCCUUUUAGCUUGAUCUAGGCCCAAUACACCGUCCAGUAUUCCAGUUUAAGAAGCUAAGCCCGCUAUGGACAGUUAUGGGCCCAUAAUUGUCAAGAAAAUUACACCGUCAACUCCUUUUAGAAAUAUUCAUUUUUAAAAUAUAUAUUUCAUAUAUUAUUAAUAUUUAAAUAAAAAAAUAUUAUAUGAUAAUUUGGAAUCUAAAUUAAUUUUAAGACUUUAUUUAGGAUUCUUAUUUGGCAUACAAAAAAUAAAAAAAGAUACUUUUAUUGCUUUCUUUGUCCUCACUAUUUUCACCUCGUUCUCUGUCAACAUCAUUGAAGCAAUUUGAGACAAUCAUCAACAGUAACUCUUUACUCAUUUUUUUCAAAAAAAUUUAUACUAAUUAACCUCAUCAGAAAACAAUCCAUAACUUAUUAAAUAUUCUUCGCAUUAUAAAAAAGUGCUUGGAUAGAUGCUUUAGACUGACUAUGUUUUAUCUUUUUAGUUCAUUCCAGCAACAACACAAAUUAAUUGAAAACAAACUUUGAUCAAAUACCAUCAUAUGUACUCAGGGGCGGACCCACAUUGGACAUUUCGGGUGCGCGAGCACCCAUUAAUUUCGUAUCAAACUAUGUAUAUUUAUAUAAAAAAUUGAAAGAAUGUGAGCACCGACUACACAGGUAGUCGUUUGAUUCAAUGGUUAUUUCUGGGUUUUUAAGGAUGUGUAUUGCAUCCGCGUUUGGGUUCGAUUCCCACUCUAAGCAUUUUUUUAAAAGUAUUUUGAAGACCAACUCUUCUAUUCUUAUUUAUUUCAUUUAGAACUUUUAUUUUUCACACCUUGUGUUGAUUGUUCUUUUUACUCUUUCUCUGUUUCCCUUUUGCUAUUUUUUUUUAUUAAAAAAAACGUUAUAAAAAAUAAUAUUUAUUGUAGUUUUAUCAUAUUAAUAUUUUUUGCUAUUGUGGCACUACAAAAAAACACCUAAAUCGUGGGGGUUUCAAAGUGGAGGUUAGCUGCAACCCCCACAAACUACAUUAAAUAACGAGGGUUUGGUAGCUGACGCAAAAUAAAAGUAAACAUCAGGGAUUUAAAAUCCCCAGAAAAAAAUUUAAGUAAAUACCGGGGGUUUAAACACCUGCUAUCUCAUAAUACAAUUUUUAUUUCAAAAUAUAAAAUAUAUAUUUUUAAUUCAUGAAAUAAAAAACACUCAUAGCUUUUGGAAAUACGUAAUUUAAUAAAUAGCUAUUUUUAAUUUAAUAACAAAAUACAAAAUAAACACAACUUUUGAAACUUCACUCCUUCCAAAUUACUCUCUCACUGUCACACUUCUCUCACCGCCACACUUCUCUACAGCGGCACUUCUCUGCCGUCUACAGCGGCACGUCUCCUCACAACUCUGUAAACUUCAGCUACUCACCAGAUUCAAAAUGGGAUAGGUGUUCUAAGGUAAUGUUUUCCACUUCUCACCUCUUUGAAUAAUGAACCUACCUCACAUUUUUGGAUUUUCUCAUCUGAAUCUUCACAAAUUGUACAAAUUACUGGUUGUAUUUACUAGAUAAGUUUAUUUUUUGGUUGUUUGUAUAGAUGCAUGGAGGUAGAAUUAGGUUAAUUUUGUUGUAUUCUUCAUGGAUGAAAAUUUUGAAAUAUCAAAUUUGAGCAUGUAUUUUGUGGUAGAAUUAGGUUUAUUUUGUUAUAAUUUUGGUGAUUCUACAGAUUCUUCGAGACAUUCUGUGUCUACAGAUUUUUUGGGACCACUUUGUCUCAAAUGGUGUCGCUAACAGGUGCCUUGUUUCUUCGUAAAAUUUGGAGUUGUCGUCUCCGUCGAUCCUUGUUUAAGCUGGAGUAAGGUGUAUAUAGUUUCCCUUUUUGUUUGUUAAUUAAUUCUUCUUUAGCUGUUACAUGUGCCCUCAAUCUUCACUUAUCUCUGUAUACUUGUAUUCAUACAUUAUAUUCUUAUUGAUUUGUAUCUUCAUUUUUUUCUUCUAAAUCACUAAUUUAUCAUUCUUCUAAAUUUGCAUGUCUUUGCUUAUUUGUUGUAUCUCUUCAAUCCAAUUGACUAUAUUCCAAGGUAGUUUGCAUUUAUCCACAAGUAUUCUUUGUAAAUAUAUUGAAUAUGGUUGGAUCAUGAUAUGAUCCAAAUGUUUGUUAUUACAAUGCUUGAUAGCUUCUAGGAUAGCCAGUGUCUCAGAUUAUUUUGGCCCUUACCAUAUCUGUAAUUCUGGCCAGGAGAAAGCAUAUCUAAAAGGUCAUAAACAGACUUCCUCUGUAGAAAAACAUCCCAUUUUGGACCAAAGUGUGUCCUACAUUGUUCCUGUAUUGUUUUAUAUAAACAAAUGUAUAAUCUUAUAGAAAAUGUUCCUUUGUUUAAUUUAUCAGGUCCGAUCCCUCUCCAAUAUUUGGAACUGAAAUUAACGAGAGAGCUUCUAGAUCUUCAAGGAUAAAGAAAGUUGAGGUACUCUUUCAUUUGCUUAGAUCACUAUAAUUUCUCAGUGGUUAGGCCUCUAGGGAAAUAGUUGAGGCCUCAAGUUCAUCUGAUGCUUAUGCUUAAAGUCAACUACAGUAGUAAUAAAUAGAGAUAAAUAGACAUUUGCUCUCAGAUACUGAAUGUUCUUGUUUAAUUUAUCAGGUCUGGCCCCUUUUCAAUAUUUGCUUUAUCUGGAACUGGAAUUAACGGGAGAGCUUCUAGAUCUUCAGGGAUAAAGAAAGUUGAGGUACUCUUUCCAUUUCUGCAUAUAAUGUUACAUAAAAAUUGUUAAAUAUGUCUGUAAUCUUAUAAUUUUCUCAUGAAAAUCUUAUAGGUGAUAUUGUCUGCUAAUCUUGUUUUUUUUUAUGGAUAAAUCUUGGAUUAGAAUGCCAAGGACCACAAAAGAAUAUUUGGUUGGCUUGAAUCAGUUCCUAGAAUUUGCAUUUAAAAAUGGAGCUAUAGAAGAUAGAAUAAAAUGUCCGUGUCCUCAAUGUUGUUUUGGCAAAUGGAAGACUAGAGAUAUAGUGUUUGAACAUUUGACUUGCAAGCCAUUUGAUCGCGUCUUUGAUCAAAUCAUAGUGGUAUAAACUCUAUAUUCUGACUACUAUACCUAUAUUCUUUUCUUGGACUUUUAUAUUUGGAUUUAAUAGAUAAGCUAACUAGUGUUUAUUCUUGAAGCCUUGAUUUUUUUCCGAGACAACCGACGAUAAGCUAACUAGUGCUUAUUCUGGAUCCACUGUGUUUUCUAGUGACAUAUCUAUUGAGAUUAGCUUCUUUAUUUCUGGCAAAGUUUUAUGGGCAAGGCAGCACUCAUGGUCUAGAACAUAUUUUCCAGGAUUGCUUCUGGAGCUUAGAAUGUGGAGUGUUGUUUGGUCUGAAUUAGGAAAAAAGAAUGUGGAAAUAUGAGUAUUUGUCUAUAGAACUUUGUGGAGUGUUGUUUGGUCUGGAUUAAUGCAAGAACAAGAUAAAAACUUGUGAUUCUUUUACUAUUAUGUGCAAUAAAGAAGUAGCAAGGUCCAGAACAUAUUUUUGCAUAUUCUUGUAUGUUAGUAUUGACCUAUUUGUUUAUGAUUGGCAUUUGUAUUGACAUUCAUAGUAGAGAAUUUAGUAUUUGUUUACAUACUGUUAUUGACAUACAAUAUGUAAGUAUUUUUUUUAUAAAUCACCAUAAUGGUUGGAUUAGGUUUCAGUCCUAAUCAUUUUAUUGCAUUCAAAAGAGGUUACAAAAGAAGGGUGAGAGCAUUUAUCAUAUUACUUAUUGUGUAUUUUUCUUUGUAGACAGAUGAUGCUAGUGACAGUAGUCGUAGUGACAAUCGUUGAAGUUCCAUGAAUAGUUGCAGGUCAUUUCUUGAGUAUGGAUGCUAGUGAACCCUUUUCAUCAAUAAAAGCAAGAUUAGCGAAUGACAGUUUUUGUAGUGAUUUGAAGUUUCUUGUAAUCGUAAUGGUUGAAGUGAAUGGUAUGUUUCAAUUUAGUUUGUAAAACUAAUAGUACACUUUAUGAUAUAUUUUUUUGUUGAAAUAUUUUGUUAUUUCUUAAUACUAAUAAGCCCUUUUAGGUUUGACUAUGAUGUACAUGUUAAUUAGUCAUUAAUAUUUAAAAUAGAUUUUUUCUAGCAUAAUGCUCUAGAAGGUUACAUGUUCAUAAAUUACAGGGGUUAGAACUCUAGUUAAUCUUAAUGUAAAAUUCAUGAUUUGUGGGGAUUUUGACUCCCAAAGUUCACAAAUUGCAGGGGUUUUGACUCCUAGAUAUUGAAGUGCAGUUUUAUAGAUAUACAUUUGUGGGUUCAAAACCCCCAGUAAUAAGCCCCCGCUAAUGGUAGCAGGGGUUCGUCCAAAACUCCUGGGACUUAAUUGUGGCACACCUAAUUGCAGGAGUUCUCUCAACUGCCACAACACUAAAUUGUGAGGGUUACUGACUGUCAGAACAUGUAAUUUUAACCCCUGCAAUUUAGGCGUUUUUUUGUAGUGUGGUUUAAUUUAAUUGUCCAUUUAAUGGCAAGUUAUAAAUUUGUUUACUUAUAUUUUGUGACGGUAGUCAAGGGAGCACCCACAAUUUGAAAAUCCUGGAUCCGCCACUGUAUGUACUUGAAUUUAAAUAAUACUUAAAGUCUAUAGUACCAAAAUAUUUGAACGUUAUUUCAAAGAAAUAAACCUUAGAUCCGUAAAACGUGUGUUAAAAACUAGAAAUAAAAAGAAAUAUGAUAAAUUUAACUGGCUAUUAUAAUUUCAAUAUGUAAUUUAUUUGAUCAGUACAAUGCAUCUAUUAAUCAUGACAAUUAAUGAGAUAGAUUGCACAUACAUGUAACUACAAAGUUUAUUUCCCAAACUAUGAAGAUUUAUCAUCAAAAUAGACAAUAAUAGCCCUUGGUAGCUUGCUAGUACACUUUUAGCAUUUUUCAACCCUCAUUACCGUCAAUUUUGCCAUCUGCGUAGCAAUACCACAAAACAAGUCUAAAGUCAAAUUUUCAAUUUAAGUUGCACCGUAAAAAUUAUAUGGAGACAUUGCAACUCUGGUCAACUAAUAAAUUAAUACAAUAUGGAUAAAAAAAACUGACAAUUCCUCUAAAAAUGAAUAUAUACAUCAUAUUCCUAUUCUUUUUCAAAUUAUAAAAAUCCUUUAAAAUUUAAGAAUUUCAGAUAUAUUACUCAAUAUCUCGAUAAAUCGCAUCCUGAUAUAUAUUUUUUGUUGAGACAAGACACACAUAUCCCGAUACAUCGCGUAAAAAUAAUGUAUUCGAGAAUAGGAGAAAGAGUGACAAAAAUAAAAAAAAUUAUAAUUUUUUUCAAAAUAGAGUCAACAGAGUGUAAAUUAGAAAUUAAAAAAAAAUACUGAAUUGAAAUAUGAUCUAUUGUUUAAAUUGAUUUGACUCGAUCUAUCUUUGCCCAUGUAAACCUUGAACAUAAUCAAAUGAGAACUCUUUUGUUGAUUCAAUCCAUUUAACCCGCUCAUUUGUCUCCCUUGGAUUUGUGAUCUUUAUUAGUUUCAACUUUUUUUCAUAGUUCAAUAUAAUAUGUGUGACUUCAGGCCAAAAUAUAGUUUGACCAUGAAAGUCAAACUACCAUAGUUGCAUACUUGCUUGUUUUUUUUAGUUUCCCAUUUGGUGUUCGAAGCCCACAUUAAAAACUCAAUCAAAUUUGAAUCGUGUAAUGCAGGGUCCAUUCUUGUUGAAACAAAGUUAAAGGAGUUUCAUUACAGAAAGAUGAAAUAAGACAAACUAAAAAACAAAGAAAUGGAAAAGGUAAAGAAAAAAGGAAACUUAAUUACCUGGUCCGCACCUAAUGUUGCACUUCCCAUCACAACGAGCGUACUCUCUCGCUGAAAAAAUAACAAAUUAUUACCGCUAAAAUACUACAUAAAGCUGAACUGAAUGCUACGAUUAUAAAAGAAAAAAGAAUAAAUAGGAAAGGGGAGAUCGAAAUGAUGACAUACGUGGGAGACCAACACAAGCAGUAUUGCAAUUGUCCCAGCAAUUGACGCCCUGAGCUGCGACGCCGACGGUGUCGGUGUUGGCCGAUAAAAGGAUGAUAAACACCAUAGCCAUAGCUGCCACUGAAUUCAUUUUCUUGUUUUCCAUUGUUUUCUUAUUAAUCUCUCUAUGCUUUUUAGUGUUAUAGUAUGAAGAUAUAAGCCUUCAAUGGAAAGCUCAUUUAUAUAUUGGUAGUCACUUUUAUUAGUGCCGUAGUGGACAAGUGGGAUACAGGAUAUUGUUAUUUUUUCAUUCCACCAAUUUUGACCGUUUAAGUAAACUUUGACUGAAAUAUAUAACAAACUUUAUUUUAUUUUGACCUAAUAAUACGUGAUCAAUUCCUUAAAUUUAACGGGAUAUUCUAUUUAUACACUUGAAUUAUGAUUGAUUAAGAUGAGUGUGUCCACUAAAGAUAAAAGAUGACAUAUUUUAUUUAGUUAACUUAACUAUCUAAUAUACAAAUGAAAAAAAUUGCAAUUUUUUCUUAAAAACUUGAAUUGAAAUUGUCUAUUUAGUUAAGGAGCUGAGUAUGCAUUAAGCAUUUUAUUUUUAUAUGGACUAGAUUAGAUCUUCUUUUCAGUCGAACUUUUAAAAAAAUUUAGAGAACUAGUUUAAAAUGCUUGAUACUGUAAGGUGAGAAAACAGAAAACUAGUAAUCUUUGUCGUUCCAGAGCCCUUUGAAAUAUUGUUUUUUUAAACGGAUACAAUUUAAAUAAAUUACAAUCAGCGGCGAAGCAAGAAUUGAAAUUAAAUGUUGAAAAAAUAAAUUAAAAAGUUAAGUUCUUGUGUGACUCUCAUAUCACCGAAUUUCUUUUUUUUACUCCAUAGUCAAACUUCGUAAGUUGUAGUUUGACCUUAUUUUUUUAAAAAAAUAAUAUUAUUAUUACUAUAUUUUACAUAAUUGGAGGUUGGAGAAAGAGAUUACUAGAUGUGAAUCGAAAUCUAAUCAACAAACUUUCGUUUAGACAAUCAAAAGCAAGUAAACUAUUACUCCCUCUAUUAUGGUAAAAUAUCAUGAACAAUGUAUUCAUAUAUUGUCUCCAAAGUUAAAAACUUUCUUAAAUGAACUUCCACCCUUAAACAGAUGAAAAUUAGUUACCAUCACUAUUCACAAACAGUUGACAUUUAAGUAUCUUCAGUCAAAAAAUUGUCGGAUAUGUGACCAAGUAAUAUUAUAACAAGCUCAAAACAGAGCCUCGAUAAUGUGCCCCUUACAUCAAGGUCGGCAUAACUAACCUAACAAAACAAAGCCUCGUGGCCGCAGACAAACAUAUCUAAUAACCAAUCAAUAAUACAAGGAAGCAACAAAUAGAUCCUCAAAUAAAUAACAAAGACAAAGUCCAAAUACAGAAAAAUUAAGGACUAGGAAUUUGGGAAGGUGCAACGGUGAAACUGAUCUGCUCUGAGCUAUGCCAUCUAUUCAAAUGCUUCAUCAUCGUCAUCUGGAAGUGGCUGAUUAAGGGCUUGUUGAAGCUCCUGUUCAUGCCUGAAUAAACAGA